Molecule: ribosomal RNA, 341 nt
Filed under: uncultured bacterium
Lineage: Bacteria
Description: bacterial SSU rRNA
Rfam family: Bacterial small subunit ribosomal RNA
Source: RNAcentral
AGAGUUUGAUCAUGGCUCAGAUUGAACGCUGGCGGCAGGCCUAACACAUGCAAGUCGAGCGGAUGACGGGAGCUUGCUCCUUGAUUCAGCGGCGGACGGGUGAGUAAUGCCUAGGAAUCUGCCUGGUAGUGGGGGACAACGUUUCGAAAGGAACGCUAAUACCGCAUACGUCCUACGGGAGAAAGCAGGGGACCUUCGGGCCUUGCGCUAUCAGAUGAGCCUAGGUCGGAUUAGCUUGUUGGUGAGGUAAUGGCUCACCAAGGCGACGAUCCGUAACUGGUCUGAGAGGAUGAUCAGUCACACUGGAACUGAGACACGGUCCAGACUCCUACGGGAGGCAG